RNAcentral lists this ribosomal RNA (384 nucleotides) under Triticum aestivum (bread wheat). Its description in RNAcentral is "partial small subunit ribosomal RNA". Lineage: Eukaryota; Viridiplantae; Streptophyta; Magnoliopsida; Poales; Poaceae. The record is from RNAcentral.
AUGUACCGGGCACUCACGCUUUCGGACGUUCCAGUGGAUAACAAUAAGAAAAUUUGGAAGUCCAAGAUUCCACUAAAAGCUAAACGAUUCAUGCGUUAUCUUAGGAGGGGAGUUGUGCUAACCAAAGACAACCUCGCCCGCCACAACCGGCAAGGAAGCAAAAAGUGUUGUUUUUGUGCUCACAACGAGACAAUCAGACACCUUUUUUUUCAGCGCAAGUUUACGCGUUCUACAUGGUCAGUCAUCCAUGUAGCAUCUAAUUUGUAUCCGCCCAUAAGUGUUACCAAUAUUUUCGGUCAUUGUUUGGACAACAGUAUUCCAAAUAGGUUCCAAACGCUAAUAAGGGUGGGAGUGUAUUCCUUGUUAUGGUCGCUUUGGCUAUGA